ACCAAGGGAGGCUUUGCCAGGUUCGGCCGCCGAAAGUUAAGUUCGGCCGCCGAACAUGGUAAGGUUUUGGGAGCGCCUUAGGCCUCCGAAAGCCUUGUUUGAGUGAGCCAAGGUUCGGCCGCCGAACCUCAUGUUCGGCCGCCGAACAUGCAUGAGAUGUGGGGGCAUGUUAGGCCGCCGAAAGGUGGCAGAACUAGCCCUAUAAGAGGCCCCGUGACCGAAAUGGGCGAGGUUUUCUCUCCCAUUCCGGCCGACGGUGAGUUCUAGCCUCCUAUAGUGAUUUUUAAGUGUUUUCCCUCAGAUCUUUUAGAUCUUAACAAGUUAUGUUUGGUUUUUGAAGAGUUUUGAAGUUUAAGCAAGUUUUGGAGCUUUGAGGUUCAAGAACUCAAAUCUCCCCCAUCUUCGAGCUAGGAUCGUUUCUCUCUCGAUCUUCAAGAGGUAAGAGCCGAUCUCUAGUUCUAUAUGUGUUUUAAGUAAGUUUUAUGCAAGUUUUCGGGGUAGAAAUGCAUGAGUAGGCUUGAUGGGUUUUUUUUAUGAAAAUCCAUGGUUUUGAUGAGUGUUCUUGAACAAUGUGGCUUGCUUGUGUGUUGUAGAUGGGGUUUAAGUUAGUUUGAGACCCCUAGGAGCUUGCAUGCUUGUGUAUGAAGUGUUGUAGAAGAGUUUAUGCAUGUUUAGAAGUUUUGGGAAACUUUGGAGGCAGGAGGAGCCAAGUUUCUGCCCUUUGGCAGAAACCAGGUUCGGCAGCCGAAGGGAGUUUCGGCCGCCGAACGUGGCUUGGGAGGCAGCUUUAGGCUGCCGAAGCUUGCCCCCGAAAGUUGGAGUUUCAGCUCUGUCCGAGACUUUCGGCCGCCGAAGGUGCCGCCGAACAUGCAUGAGUUUCGUCUCUAUCUGGGAGUUUCGGCCGCCGAAGGUGCCGCCGAACCUGCCUGACUUUCGGCUCUGGAGGGACUUCCGGCCGCCGAAGGUGCCGCCGAAAGUGCCCUGCCCAGCCUUUUCUUGCAUGUUUUCUAGGGGUGUUUUGAGGUGUUUUUAGGAGGUUUUUGGGGGUAUGCUUAGAGUCUUGUUUAUGUUUGUUUGGUACCUCAUUUAAGUCCACCUGUGUAGGUUCGGACCCGAGGAACCGAGACCCCCGGCAGUGAGAUAGCUACCUUUGAGUUGUUAAAGCUUCAGUCGUCAG
Molecule: long non-coding RNA, 1177 nt
Filed under: Manihot esculenta (cassava)
Lineage: Eukaryota; Viridiplantae; Streptophyta; Magnoliopsida; Malpighiales; Euphorbiaceae
Description: long non-coding RNA (MESC_LNC005656)
Source: RNAcentral